Molecule: ribosomal RNA, 201 nt
Filed under: uncultured bacterium
Lineage: Bacteria
Description: partial 16S ribosomal RNA
Rfam family: Bacterial small subunit ribosomal RNA
Source: RNAcentral
ACGCUCGACACCUACGGGAGGCAGCAGUCGGGAAUAUUGCGCAAUGGAGGAAACUCUGACGCAGUGACGCCGCGUGCAGGAAGAAGGUUUUCGGAUUGUAAACUGCUUUAGACAGGGAAGAAAGAAAUGACAGUACCUGUAGAAUAAGCUCCGGCUAACUACGUGCUAGCAGCCGCGGUAAUCUGAGCGGGCUGGCAAGGC